UGGGGAAUAUUGCGCAAUGGGGGGAACCCUGACGCGGCCAUGCCGCGUGAAUGAAGAAGGCCUUCGGGUUGUAAAGUUCUUUCGGUAUUGAGGAAGGUUGAUGUGUUAAUAGCACAUCAAAUUGACGUUAAAUACAGAAGAAGCACCGGCUAACUCCGUGCCAGCAGCCGCGGUAAUACGGAGGGUGCGAGCGUUAAUCGGAAUAACUGGGCGUAAAGGGCACGCAGGCGGUUAUUUAAGUGAGGUGUGAAAGCCCCGGGCUUAACCUGGGAAUUGCAUUUCAGACUGGGUAACUAGAGUACUUUAGGGAGGGGUAGAAUUCCACGUGUAGCGGUGAAAUGCGUAGAGAUGUGGAGGAAUACCGAAGGCGAAGGCAGCCCCUUGGGAAUGUACUGACGCUCAUGUGCGAAAGCGUGGGGAGCAAACAGGAUUAGAUACCCUGGUAGUCCACGCUGUAAACGCUGUCGAUUUGGGGGUUGGGGUUUAACUCUGGCGCCCGUAGCUAACGUGAUAAAUCGACCGCCUGGGGAGUACGGCCGCAAGGUUA
This 547-nucleotide ribosomal RNA is filed under the name uncultured bacterium. Its description in RNAcentral is "bacterial SSU rRNA". It matches the Rfam family "Bacterial small subunit ribosomal RNA", at positions 355 to 896 of the family's 1533-position model. The record is from RNAcentral.